This 425-nucleotide ribosomal RNA is filed under the name uncultured bacterium. Its description in RNAcentral is "partial 16S ribosomal RNA". It matches the Rfam family "Bacterial small subunit ribosomal RNA", at positions 354 to 796 of the family's 1533-position model. The record is from RNAcentral.
GUGGGGAAUAUUGGGCAAUGGGCGAAAGCCUGACCCAGCAACGCCGCGUGAAGGAAGAUGGUCUUCGGAUCGUAAACUUCUAUCCUUGGUGAAGAUAAUGACGGUAGCCGAGAAGGAAGCCCCGGCUAACUACGUGCCAGCAGCCGCGGUAAUACGUAGGGGGCAAGCGUUGUCCGGAAUGAUUGGGCGUAAAGGGCGCGUAGGCGGCCUGGUAAGUCUGGAGUGAAAGUCCUGCUUUUAAGGUGGGAAUUGCUUUGGAUACUGUCGGGCUUGAGUGCAGGAGAGGUAAGCGGAAUUCCCGGUGUAGCGGUGAAAUGCGUAGAGAUCGGGAGGAACACCAGUGGCGAAGGCGGCUUACUGGACUGUAACUGACGCUGAGGCGCGAAAGUGUGGGGAGCAAACAGGAUUAGAAACCCGAGUAGUCC